RNAcentral lists this ribosomal RNA (492 nucleotides) under uncultured bacterium. Its description in RNAcentral is "partial 16S ribosomal RNA". It matches the Rfam family "Bacterial small subunit ribosomal RNA", at positions 29 to 507 of the family's 1533-position model. The record is from RNAcentral.
AGUGAACGCUGGCGGUAGGCCUAACACAUGCAAGUCGAACGGCAGCACAGUAAGAGCUUGCUCUUACGGGUGGCGAGUGGCGGACGGGUGAGGAAUACAUCGGAAUCUACUUUUUCGUGGGGGAUAACGUAGGGAAACUUACGCUAAUACCGCAUACGACCUACGGGUGAAAGCAGGGGAUCUUCGGACCUUGCGCGAUUGAAUGAGCCGAUGUCGGAUUAGCUAGUUGGCGGGGUAAAGGCCCACCAAGGCGACGAUCCGUAGCUGGUCUGAGAGGAUGAUCAGCCACACUGGAACUGAGACACGGUCCAGACUCCUACGGGAGGCAGCAGUGGGGAAUAUUGGACAAUGGGCGCAAGCCUGAUCCAGCCAUACCGAGUGGGUGAAGAAGGCCUUCGGGUUGUAAAGCCCUUUUGUUGGGAAAGAAAAGCAGCAGGUUAAUACCACGCUGUUCUGACGGUACCCAAAGAAUAAGCACCGGCUAACUUCGUG